CUGUCAUAUCAUGCUGAAACACUAAAUCCCUUAUGAUCACAGAAGUUAAGCAACAAUGUGCCUGAUCAAUACCUAAAUAGGUGACCACUUGGAAAUACCAGGUGCUGUAG
This is a non-coding RNA of Acanthosepion pharaonis, 110 nucleotides long. The record is from the annotation of a GenBank genome assembly. Lineage: Eukaryota; Metazoa; Mollusca; Cephalopoda; Sepiida; Sepiidae.